GGCUCGUUCGUCUAGUGGUUGAGGAUUCCGCUCUUUCAAGGCGGAGAGAGGGGUUCGAAUCCCCUACGAGCUG
Molecule: transfer RNA, 73 nt
Filed under: Planctomycetaceae bacterium
Lineage: Bacteria; Pseudomonadati; Planctomycetota; Planctomycetia; Planctomycetales; Planctomycetaceae
Description: tRNA-Glu
Rfam family: tRNA
About the family: Transfer RNA (tRNA) molecules are approximately 80 nucleotides in length. Their secondary structure includes four short double-helical elements and three loops (D, anti-codon, and T loops).
Source: RNAcentral